Molecule: long non-coding RNA, 200 nt
Filed under: Lathyrus oleraceus (garden pea)
Lineage: Eukaryota; Viridiplantae; Streptophyta; Magnoliopsida; Fabales; Fabaceae
Description: Pisum sativum (pea) long non-coding RNA (PSAT_LNC000173)
Source: RNAcentral
AUUAAUUUAAUAUGGAUGGUGAUACUCAUAGGCAUUAUCUAAAGUCCAUUCUCUUUAUUUUUAAGCCAAUGUGAGUGAGGUUUCUGUUUUUAUGUAUAUAUUCUUUUUCUCAACCAAAAAUGUCAUCAAAGAGAACCUAAUUGGUUAUCAUGUUAACUUUGUUAGUUGGUCUCCUCUCCUCUAUUUAUAAAAGAAAAAAA